Long non-coding RNA from Pseudoliparis swirei, 591 nucleotides. RefSeq lists it as uncharacterized. Lineage: Eukaryota; Metazoa; Chordata; Actinopteri; Perciformes; Liparidae. The transcript has 4 exons. The record is from RefSeq and is a predicted model, not a curated record.
ACCGCCUCAGUCUUUUCGCCGACAUUGCCCCUCACGCGCAUGUCAGGAGGAAGUCAGCUCGUCUGCUUAACGUCAGAAUGCAACACAUCGCACGCGGUUUGAUCCGCAGCGGCGACGCGGUCUCUUCAGAGCAGACGCCGUUUGGACACCUGUGUGAGCCGGAUGGAGCCGGAUAGAGGUGGAUGAGUCUGCAGCUCAUCAGUCGCUGCCAUGGCAGUAUGACUACUUGACAAUGGGUCCGAGAGAGGAACCACAGAUAGAGGGCAGCUCCCAUCUGCAUCGAGUCCUGUGUGUAUGAGAUUUUUUUCUCCUUUAUCCAGUCCAUGAGGCUUCGGGGGAUGAAGUCAGAAGAUGGUGCAGAUGCAUUUGAGCAUACUCUGAAUUAAUACUUGGUGAAUACAGGUAAACACACCAGGUGUAGACACCUUAUUUGGACAAACUACUUUUCUAUUCCCACUGAUGCCCAACACACUGCAAUGCUCGUAAAUGUUGGACCUAUACAUUUUCCUGCAGCGUUGAUCUUUCACAACUUCUCAACCACUAAGUGCAAUGUGAAUCUUUUUUUUGUUAUUAAACCAUUGAACCCCUGAA